Molecule: ribosomal RNA, 532 nt
Filed under: Leptosphaeria sp. 1 AE-2013
Lineage: Eukaryota; Fungi; Ascomycota; Dothideomycetes; Pleosporales; Leptosphaeriaceae
Description: eukaryotic LSU rRNA
Rfam family: 5.8S ribosomal RNA (bases 181-334)
Source: RNAcentral
GUAACAAGGUUUCCGUAGGUGAACCUGCGGAAGGAUCAUUAUCAAAACAGCGGACUUCGGUCCUUGCUGCACCCUUGUCUUUUGCGUACCGUAUGUUUCCUCGGCGGGCUUGCCUGCCGGUUGGACAUUAUCAAACCUUUUUGUAGUUGCAAUCAGCGUCAGAAAAUAAACAAUAAUUACAACUUUCAACAACGGAUCUCUUGGUUCUGGCAUCGAUGAAGAACGCAGCGAAAUGCGAAAAGUAGUGUGAAUUGCAGAAUUCAGUGAAUCAUCGAAUCUUUGAACGCACAUUGCGCCCCUUGGUAUUCCAUGGGGCAUGCCUGUUCGAGCGUCAUUUUGUACCCUCAAGCACUGCUUGGUGUUGGGCGUUUGUCCUGCAAAGGACUCGCCUGAAAGCGAUUGGCGGCCAACGUACUGGUGGUAGAGCGCAGCACAAUUUGCGUCUCUCCCUUCUACGUCGGCGUCCAUGAAGCCUUUUUUCAACGUUUGACCUCGGAUCAGGUAGGGAUACCCGCUGAACUUAAGCAUAUCA